This 1545-nucleotide long non-coding RNA is filed under the name Anas platyrhynchos platyrhynchos (common mallard). RNAcentral's name for it is "lncRNA (ENSAPLG00000017970.1)". The record is from RNAcentral. Lineage: Eukaryota; Metazoa; Chordata; Aves; Anseriformes; Anatidae.
UGAGACAUGGGUGUGUGCAAAUAGAAUUAGUGCCAGCUCCUGGGGUUAUGCUGAGGGUGUAGGCCUCUGAGCUGUGGUGCCAGCUCCUGGAGCAAGCGGAGGUCCUUGUGUCAUUAACUGGGGGUGACCAUAGCCCUCUGGAUCUAGGAAGGAUCCUACAGACAUUGUGCUUGGAGUGCUACUGGGGGGGACUGGUGUGCCUUGGCUACAGAUCUCAGUUUAUGUUCUGCUUAAGGAGCAGGAUAUCUGGCAGUACUUUCCCAGAGGAUUUAAUUGAGAAAUCACACUGUGACAUACAGACAGUUUUUGGAAAAGCCUACAGCAAAGAACUGUGUCAGAGUACUGCUGGCCUUCAAUAUCUCCGCAUCUCAAACAAUGCUGGAAAUGAGUUGUACUUCACUACAGAGGCUAAUAGUGUUAUAACAGUAAUCACUUCAAGAAUAGUAUUUACCAUCUACCAAGAGAAAGCUGAGUCUGAAGAUACCUAACCAGGCUGAUGGCAGAAGAAACAGAUGGCCUAGAUGGGAGCUGGAGGAACCUUCAUCACUGCAGCUUCAGAUAAAAACAGUGCAUGGAAGAAGAGGCUGAAAAACUAAAAUAUUUCAGUGAAACUGGGAAAACUUCUGCUCAUUGAAUAAUUUCCUUAAAUAAUCUGUUCUCCAAGUACUGCUUUUUAGUACAGAAACUUCUGAUAGCUCAUUACCUUGAGUAAGUUUUACAUAUCCUUGCUGAGCCUUUCUGAUGCGUUCCUUGUUGCCAACUCCCUUUGAUCUUCAGGAUAUGCAUGCUCCACCUUGCACCCACAGCACAAAGUUCUGUAGUGUGAAUCUUCUCCAAGAAGAGUUAGUCUCCUGCACACCUCAGCAGACAAGAAAACAAGAAUAGCUUUUCUUCUGCUGACCAACUCUUGUCUUACAAAAGAUGCAAAAACUGUUGUCUUAAGUAAGAGUCUGAGUGCUGAGAUUUAUAGUUUAAAAUCCAAUGUAUAUAUUAAAUACUUAGUUAAAUUAUAGAUAAAGGAGUACAGCCUUUAAGAGAUCAAAAUUAAUCCAUAUUCUUUAUCAGCACUGCCAGAGCCUCUGAUGGAGAUAUUAUAUCCUGAUUUGGGCACCAUGUUUUAAAGGAAGACUGGAGGGAUUCUUCAGGAAAGAAUAGAACAAUCAGAAAUACAAAACAUGAGGAAAGUGUGAAAGAAGAGUUGAGAAACUGGAGAAAGGACUUUGUGUCAAGGAGGGGAGAGGAAAAAGGAGGACAUAACUUGUGUUGUAUGUGUUAAAGAAUCUUGCAAACAAGCUGUUCUCUAUGUACCUAAUAGAUAGGACAAAUGGAAAUGGUGUUAAAACAUAUAAGAAAGAUUCACUUUAAAAGUAUAUUGCUUACUGACUUGCUGAACCUUCAUUACCAAAGAUUUUCAGGAAUGAAUUAGGAAUGGCACAGUUAGAGUUCUCCUGGUCUCGAGCACAAAGGGUGCUCUUCCAAGGUGCCACUGGUGACCUUCCAAGGAAGAUUUUUCUGGCAAUAAAAACACGUUCCUGUCCCUGGGCA